GGUGGUUCUGGGGUGACGCACCCUGGAAUCGGGCUCCCUCCUCUCUAGUUCCUAGUGCAUCACCAGAGAACUGCA
Molecule: non-coding RNA, 75 nt
Organism: Myotis davidii
Lineage: Eukaryota; Metazoa; Chordata; Mammalia; Chiroptera; Vespertilionidae
Source: Rfam